This 76-nucleotide transfer RNA is filed under the name Pseudomonadota bacterium. Its description in RNAcentral is "tRNA-Thr". It matches the Rfam family "tRNA". Rfam says of the family: Transfer RNA (tRNA) molecules are approximately 80 nucleotides in length. RNAcentral also lists the same sequence under 1 other name. Lineage: Bacteria; Pseudomonadati; Pseudomonadota. The record is from RNAcentral.
GCCAGAGUAGCUCAGUCGGUAGAGCAGCGGUUUUGUAAACCGCGGGUCGUGGGUUCAAGUCCCACCUUUGGCUCCA